This 503-nucleotide ribosomal RNA is filed under the name uncultured bacterium. Its description in RNAcentral is "bacterial SSU rRNA". It matches the Rfam family "Bacterial small subunit ribosomal RNA", at positions 28 to 525 of the family's 1533-position model. The record is from RNAcentral.
GACGAACGCUGGCGGCGUGGAUUAGGCAUGCAAGUCGAACGGUAUCAUCCUUUCGGGGGUGAGAGAGUGGCGAACUGGUGAGUAACACGUAGGUUAUCUACCCUCAAGACGGGGACAACCCAGGGAAACUUGGGCUAAUACCGGAUGUGAGCAACUUUUAGUUGUUUGAAAGGUGGCGUAAGCUGUCGCUUGGGGAUGAGCCUGCGUCCUAUUAGUUAGUUGGUGAGGUAACGGCUCACCUAGGCAAUGAUAGGUAGGCGGCCUUAACGGGUGGUCGCCCACACUGGGAUUGAGAUACGGCCCAGACUCCUACGGGAGGCAGCAGUCGAGAAUAGUCUACAAUGGUCGGAAGACUGAUAGUGCGACGCCGCGUGAACGAUGAAUCCCUUCGGGGUGUAAAGUUCUUUUAUAUGUGAGCAGUGCUUCUUAUAUUAACAGUAUGGGGAAGAUAUUAGCAUAUGAAUAAGCAACGGCUAAACUCCGUGCCAGCAGCCGCGGUAAAU